AAAUAGCAUCAAUGAAAGAGAAAAUAACAAGGUAUAUUCAGAACAAAAGUGAUCAUUGGUAUCCAGAUCCCUCAGUUGUGAUGAGGGAUGUUGAAGACUUGAACAGGAUAAAGUGGUCAGUAUGGAUUUCACACACAAUGAAUUUCCAAGACAUGGGAGAGAGAUGGGCAAGGAGAGCUCUUUUAAUUGAGGAAAUGGUUAAGAUAUUCAGAGAGCUAGAUAUCGAAUAUCGUAUGCUCCCUCUUGAUGUCAAUGUUCG
Molecule: unclassified non-coding RNA, 259 nt
Filed under: Hevea brasiliensis (rubber tree)
Lineage: Eukaryota; Viridiplantae; Streptophyta; Magnoliopsida; Malpighiales; Euphorbiaceae
Source: RNAcentral